GGUUACUGCUAUCGAGGUUCAACUAAGCCAUGCGAGUCGAAUGUAGCAAUACAUGGCGAACUGCUCAGUAACACGUGGACAACCUGCCCUUAGGUUGGGUAUAAACCCGGGAAACUGGGUAUAAUACCCGAUAGGUCUCGAUUGCUGGAAUGCAUCGAGAUUUAAAGCUCCGGCGCCUAAGGAUGGGUCUGCGGCCUAUCAGGUAGUAGUGGGUGUAGCGUACCUACUAGCCUACGACGGGUACGGGUUGUGAGAGCAAGAGCCCGGAGAUGGAUUCUGAGACACGAAUCCAGGCCCUACGGGGUGCAGCAGGCGCGAAAACUUUACAAUGCUGGCAACAGCGAUAAGGGAACCUCGAGUGCCAGGUUACAAAUCUGGCUGUCGAGAUGCCUAAAAAGCAUUUCAUAGCAAGGGCCGGGCAAGACCGGUGCCAGCCGCCGCGGUAACACCGGCGGCUCGAGUGGUAACCGUUAUUAUUGGGUCUAAAGGGUCUGUAGCCGGCCGGAUAAGUCUCUUGAGAAAUCUGGCAGCUUAACUGUCAGGCUUUCAGGAGAUACUGUCUGGCUCGAGGCCGGGAGAGGUGAGAGGUACUUCAGGGGUAGGGGUGAAAUCUUGUAAUCCUUGAAGGACCACCAGUGGCGAAGGCGUCUCACCAGAACGGACCUGACGGCAAGGGACGAAAGCUAGGGGCACGAACCGGAUUAGAUACCCGGGUAGUC
Molecule: ribosomal RNA, 719 nt
Filed under: archaeon enrichment culture clone A21D48
Lineage: Archaea
Description: bacterial SSU rRNA
Rfam family: Archaeal small subunit ribosomal RNA
Source: RNAcentral